AAAUAACUAGGCAGCCAUAAAUAAUUGACAUUUUCUAAGUGAUGAUAUAUUAGUAGGAAUCUCAUUGAGUAUCACUCUGUGUUAUUAUGAAAACAUAUUUUUUAACUGAUUAAAUUCAAUAUUUCUAAACUUUAUUUUUCGUAACAUUUAUUUAACUCGCUCCUGUUUUAUUUCAGGCUCAUGGGGGAAAUGUAACUUUGCGUUAAUAUCCAGUGGAAUAAAAGGCAGUAGAGUAGACUAAUCGGCUUCUGGGCAUUGAAGGUAAUCGAAAUCGGGCAAUACAUGGAUGAUGGUCAUAUAAAUUGUUAUAGUUUUAGGUUUAUUUAUAGACUAUAGAUAACUAAAAAAAUAUUAAUAAAGAAUUGACAAAUUUCCAAAAAAAAAAA
Long non-coding RNA from Ceratitis capitata (Mediterranean fruit fly), 386 nucleotides. RefSeq lists it as uncharacterized. The transcript has 3 exons. NCBI's taxonomy places the organism in Eukaryota, Metazoa, Arthropoda, Insecta, Diptera, Tephritidae. The record is from RefSeq and is a predicted model, not a curated record.